Molecule: long non-coding RNA, 962 nt
Organism: Homalodisca vitripennis (glassy-winged sharpshooter)
Lineage: Eukaryota; Metazoa; Arthropoda; Insecta; Hemiptera; Cicadellidae
Exons: 3
Source: RefSeq, a predicted model, not a curated record
UAAAUAUUUGUAAAAUAUUGAAGUAAUAAUAAUCUGAAGGUGACGAAAAUGUGGAUUAUUAAAAAAGUAAAAUAGAAUGUGAGACAAGAAGAAUUUACAUGAUUUAUAUUGUCGGAAAAUAUACAACUAAACUUUUAAUAUCAAUAUAGUCUGUUCUAGAUGAAAUAUUUGAGAAAUAUGGAAGUAAUAUGAUAUCUGAAGGAGACGAAACUGUGGACUAUUAACAAAGCAAAAUAUAAUAUGAGGCAAGAGAAAAUUUACGUGAUUUAUGUUGUCUGAAAAUAUACAUCUGAACGUUUAAUAUCAAAACAAAUAAGGAAGCUGUUGGAGAUAUGCAGAGAAGCAGCCGUGGAUAUAGUUACAAUGAGAAAAACGAAGACAAAAACGCAUUACCUUUAGCAUAUCUUAGGUUGUUGAUUGAGAUCGUCAAAGGCUUACAAAAAAACCCCUGCUACGCUUACCGUACAUUUAAACUUCUGCCAGAGAUCUGCAGUCUAUGUAUCAAGAACAGAAAUCAUCAAAAAUACAAUAGCCAAACAGGCAUCGGAUGUUGAAGAUCCACCAUAAGAAUCAUCUGAAAUCCCUAAAAGUAUAUUAUUAUAACUUCUAGUUGGUUCCGUCAUACACUUCCUACAAAAUAAAUUUAAAAUCAAAAGAUAUAGUAUUAACAAUAUUUUGUAUUUGUUUAUAAUUUAAUGCUUUUGUGUAUAAUUUGUUUUUGGCAUUAGUGUAUACUUGAAAAUGUAGCAGAAUUACUCCAAUUAUCUAACGUCUAUAGUAACGUUUUACAAAUCUUAACAACACAUUAAACUUCUUUCCUCGACGAUUUUGGUCCGUGUAAACAUCAUUAACUCCAGCAGUCAGAUAUGUUCAUAUAAUAAAACCAGAGAAAUGAAAGCCUGGUUGCCCUGGUUGCAUAUAUUUAGGAUAUUUAAUAAACAAAUAUAUUGAUAUAUACAAAU